GGCCUGGAAAAGUGCCCAGCCGUCGGCACGGAACAGAGUUGGGCACACCAGCUCCCGGGCCUGUUUGUCAGAGGUGUGGGCCUACGACAGCGUCGGUCUCAAGGCUGCCCAGGAUGGGACAAGACCACAGAGCAUCAGCUGUGACUACCCCAUGUCAGACUGGCAAGUCUCAAGGAGAUGCCAUCUCCUUCACAGAGGGCGGAGCUGGAGGAGUCCCUGCAGGACAGGACAGCUCUGCUGCUGCGGACUGGCGACAGAUGUGCUCACCAGGUGGUGGUAGAAAAUAGCACCCAGAAGAAAGACCGAAGAGGA
Molecule: long non-coding RNA, 312 nt
Organism: Chionomys nivalis (European snow vole)
Lineage: Eukaryota; Metazoa; Chordata; Mammalia; Rodentia; Cricetidae
Exons: 3
Source: RefSeq, a predicted model, not a curated record